UACGGAAGGGGCUAGCGUUGUUCGGAAUCACUGGGCGUAAAGCGCGCGUAGGCGCCGGUCAAGUGCGGCGUGAAAGUCCUGGGCUCAACCCGGGAACUGCGUGUGAUACUGGAUGGCUUGAAUUCGGGAGAGGGAUGCAGAAUUCCAGGUGUAGCGGUGAAAUGCGUAGAUAUCUGGAGGAAUACCGGUGGCGAAGGCGGCAUCCUGGACCGACAUUGACGCUGAACGGCGAAAGCUAGGGAG
RNAcentral lists this ribosomal RNA (243 nucleotides) under uncultured bacterium. RNAcentral's name for it is "partial 16S ribosomal RNA". It matches the Rfam family "Bacterial small subunit ribosomal RNA", at positions 524 to 767 of the family's 1533-position model. The record is from RNAcentral.